GUUGAACGCUGGCGGCAGGCUUAACACAUGCAAGUCGAGCGGAGAUGAGGUGCUUGCACCUUAUCUAGCGGCGGACGGGUGAGUAAUGCUUAGGAAUCUGCCUAUUAGUGGGGGACAACAUUCCGAAAGGAAUGCUAAUACCGCAUACGUCCUACGGGAGAAAGCAGGGGAUCUUCGGACCUUGCGCUAAUAGAUGAGCCUAAGUCGGAUUAGCUAGUUGGUGGGGUAAAGGCCUACCAAGGCGACGAUCUGUAGCGGGUCUGAGAGGAUGAUCCGCCAGACUGGGACUGAGACACGGCCCAGACUCCUACGGGAGGCAGCAGUGGGGAAUAUUGGACAAUGGGGGAAACCCUGAUCCAGCCGUGCCGCGUGUGUGAAGAAGGCCUUAUGGUUGUAAAGCACUUUAAGCGAGGAGGAGGCUACUGAGACUAAUACUCUUGGAUAGUGGACGUUACUCGCAGAAUAAGCACCGGCUAACUCUGUGCCAGCCGCCGCCGUAA
This 500-nucleotide ribosomal RNA is filed under the name uncultured bacterium. RNAcentral describes it as "partial 16S ribosomal RNA". It matches the Rfam family "Bacterial small subunit ribosomal RNA", at positions 28 to 523 of the family's 1533-position model. The record is from RNAcentral.